CCUACAGGGCUCUUCCCGCUGUUGCUUCUUCUAUUUUUAUAUUUCACUUGGCUCUCUAAAUUUUGUUUCAGCACUAGGUAAGGUUAAAUUUUUCUCCCAUGAUCUGGAUUUUUAGGUUCUCCAGUGAGGAUGUGUGUUUGAAGGUGGAUUUUCCCCCUCUCGCACUUUGGGCACUCACAGUUUUUCUGCUGUCUCAUGGAUUUUGCAGCAGCAAGCCACUUCUUUUAAAGGGUCUGUGAAUUCUUUCAGUUUUCCUAGUAUGUUCCUGCAGUAGUUCUUGGAGUAAAAAUUCACAAUAUGAACAAAUUGAUUGAAUAUUACCAGCAGCUUGCUCAGAAAGAGAAGGUUGAGCGAGAUCGCAAGAAAUUGGCACGACG
Molecule: small RNA, 377 nt
Filed under: Pongo abelii (Sumatran orangutan)
Lineage: Eukaryota; Metazoa; Chordata; Mammalia; Primates; Hominidae
Description: processed transcript
Source: RNAcentral